Molecule: ribosomal RNA, 253 nt
Filed under: uncultured bacterium
Lineage: Bacteria
Description: partial 16S ribosomal RNA
Rfam family: Bacterial small subunit ribosomal RNA
Source: RNAcentral
UACGGAGGGUGCAAACGUUGCUCGGAAUCAUUGGGCGUAAAGCGCACGUAGGCGGACCGCUAAGUCGGAUGUGAAAGCCCUCGGCUUAACCGAGGAAGUGCAUUCGAAACUGACAGUCUUGAGUAUGGAAGAGGGUCGCGGAAUUCCCGGUGUAGAGGUGAAAUUCGUAGAUAUCGGGAGGAACACCAGUGGCGAAGGCGGCGACCUGGGCCAAUACUGACGCUGAGGUGCGAAAGCGUGGGGAGCAAACAGG